CUCGCUACUGGUCUCCCCUCGACGCAUGUGUACGUAUACGAUUUUUAUCUAGUACCCCAGACGACCGAUCUGUAUAUAAACAGAUACCGAAUUAUCUCAUACGGUAAAACACGAUAAAAGCCAUUGAGGAUGCGCGGCAUUCGCUGUGGCGGCAUUUGCCCCUUAUAUUUAUACUCGAUUUCAAAACUACUUGAGCUUUGCAUGUGUCGGUGUAUUAGCAGAUAUCCAAUCCUCUAGGCUAACGCCGUCUUGCCGACGUAUCGUAACCGGAAAGUGUAUGUAUGGCGGUGAACAUCCGUGAACGUAGCGACAGACGGCGCUAAGAGCAGCUAGGAGUAGCAAACAAAACACGGAGUCGGUUGUUGGCGCAGUGGUAAAAACAUGCAGAAGAAAACCACCGAAACGUGAAGGCGAACUGGGUACCGCCUGCGAUGGAAUUUGCCGUGGAAAAACGGAGUAUAUUUGUGUAAUUAACGAUGGGAAUUCGAUAUGCGAAGCUCGCCAGUGGAGCCAUCGAGUGACUCGUCGGUAAGGACACGCGCUCGACGGAAAAGGUGAUCUGUCUAUGAUUGUAGAUCUUAACAUCUGAAAAUGUCGCAACCAACGCAAGACACAGACAUCACAAGUUCUAUUUCACCCUUACUCCAUGUCCAGGAUCAUGAUGUCCGUGAAAAACUUGGAACCGGAAAGGGUGUAAAAAAAUUAUUGCAAAGAAAACCUCCUACCUCAUUAAGUAUGGAAACUGUGUAUACGAACGAGGAAGAAUCUCAACCUAAUGGAGCUGUAAAACACCAAGGUUCUGAGCUCCUGAAAUCCCUGGGCAAAAACUUUCCUUGGCUCGUUAAAUUUUCAAGAGUCCUUGAGUCAUCAGUUGGUAGCAAGAAUGUCAAGCUGCUUGAUCGUUUACUAAGUGUAUAUAUAGAGAAUAUGUCACGCGAUGUGAAUAAGUGUUACACUAAGCCCCAUAGAGCAGCCAAGCUAAAGGCUCAAAUGAGCCAAACUUUGAUGUUUUUUCAUCUCUACUGGAAAAAUAUUAAAGAGAGAGUUGAUGAUCAUAAUCAAUAUUUGGAUAAGAUGUCAGAGAUAUUGGGAAUGUAUUUUGACAUGGAGCUUAAGGCGUCUCGUAGAGGCAAAGAUUUGGCUUCAAAAAUUGCUGCCAAGCUACUUACGGCCAUGUUCAUAUAUCUGGAUAAUUCAGAAGAACAUAUAUUCAGGGUUUUGUUGAGGGCCAAAUUCAUAACCAAAAAUUACAUUCAAAUAUGCAGUCCCAUACUUACAAAAUUGUUCGCUGGUUUAUCCGGUCGCACAACAAGCAUCACGGAUGUGACUUAUGUUCGUUACUUAUUGGCUUUGAAAUUAUGGAAACGAAUAAAGGAUGACCUGCAGGAGAAGAAGAAUAUUAACGAAUUGGCCGUUGCAAUACUUGGUCAAAGAACUCCGAUAUCGAAUACCGAGCUUGGAAAGAUUAUACCAAAACCGCCAGAGUGUCAUAAGAAUGGAACUUUGUGGUUACUGCAACCUAAUUCAUUUGAUCUACGCAAAGCUUGCGACAGUUUUAUUAAAUAUGAAUUAAGCGAACACAUUAUUUCACUGCCAGAUUCUAUUGAAAGAUUCAAAGUUAUGGAUAGCAUUGACAUGGUGCCUUCUGCGCAGAUCAACUUGGAAUCUAUUAACAGAUUACAACAAGAAGAUAUUCUUCAGCUAAAUAAAUCUGUGGUUGGAUUACAGCCUGUUAAAAAAGUGGUGAAAUUGAGAAGGUUCAUACCUUCCUUUCCAAAAUUACUGCCAGGUGAAGUAGUGUUCAUUGAUUUGACAGCUGAGAAUGAUGAACAGAAGCAAAAAGAAAAUGACAAACAGAAGAAGAAAAAAGACAAAAAGAAGUUGAAGUGGUUGAAAGAAGCCGGUAAGAAAUCAAAAAUUAGGAAGGAACGCAAAAUCCUUGAUAAAACAUGGAUUGAAAAGGCUGAUGCUCACAGUACAGAGGACAACAAUGAAAAAACUGAGUCAAACUCAAAUAACCAGCCAAUUUCGGAAGAUAUAGUCACAGAAAGUACAGAGCGAACGGACAGAAUAUCGGUGAAUAGCAAUAGAUUUGCCAAACGAGUGACUAAACUACAUGCAGAUCCCAUUGGCGGGAUAAAGCAGAAGAAAAAUAAAUGCAACGUUAAUUGUAACGGGUGUGAACUGUGUAAUUUGAUGGGACAACUGAAGUAUACGACUAUUGAUAAAAUGGGAGAUAUAGAAAGUUCUGAAAACCUCAUCACAUCACAAUCGUCGCCACUUAAGAAAGAAGAUGCAACAAUUUUUGUCCACACAACAUUUGCCGAUUGCGUAAACGAAGAACUGAAAGGUUCUGGAGCUUAUAAUAUUCAAACUGUGUCAGAAUCGUGUGGCUCUUAUCAUGGUACGGAUCAAACCGAACGAAAAAAUGCUACAGAAAGCACGAAGCAAGAGCCGCACGAUGUUAUAGACGAUAGUACAACUGAUAAAAACUGUGAUAAUCUAAUUACUACAAUUACAAAUACGUCUAGUUUUAAUAUUACUAGUGAAACUGAGAAGAAAAAGGACAUUUUCGUCAAACGAAACGUUCCUUCAUCAAAUGUAAAAUCAGAGGCUGGUCACACGACGGAAAUUGACGCGGCAAUACCUUCGAAAAUUUCAUGUAAAAAUUCACAGUAUAUUUCGAACGUUCCUGACGACACGAAAAUGAAAAAUGGUAGUAAUGAAAUUUGCAUUGUGUCAACUACAGCUUCGAUCUUUGGCUGUGGUACAGAGGAACAAAUAAACGUGAUAUCUGGAUCGUCAAUCGAACCUACGAAACAGGAGAAGGAACGUGAUCUGAAUAUGGGUGAUAAUAAUAAAUCGUACACAAAAGAAAUCGCGACGAUUUUCAAGAAAUUAGUUUCAACUUCAAAGAAGACUAAAUCAUUAGAUGUGGGUAACGAUAACUGUAAAAACGGGGUUAUCGAGGCUGUCCACAACAAAUUGCAAAACAGUUUAAUUCAUGCUCUAUCUUUGGAUGAAGUUAUCGAGGUAGGGAAAGAUGAUAUUGAUUCUCAGUCCGAGGAUGACGAAGCGAAAGGAUAUUGCAGCAAAUCAAUGGAUCAAGGAAGAAAAGUGCAAAAUUUUCACAAAGAGUUGCUCUGCAGUGAGGACAAUGAUUUUUUUCAAAUACCAGGUAUACAUCUGUGCGACGAUCUUACAAAUAACAAUGACGUAGAAAAUUUUGGGGAUAGUAGUAAAAUUGAUGAAUUUGAAAACAUUGACAUAUUGGACAGCAUUUUGAACGGCAAUAUGAGCAUGCAAGAUAUCCUUGAGGAGCAACAACACUUGUCCAUGACAUCUGGUAGCAACGAAACAUCCUCCUCCAACGUGAUGGGAUUUUUCACGGAAUCUCUUAGGCAAUCACAAACUGCACAGUCGGUUGGCGAAGAUUAUGCAAUAGAGGAGGCUUCCUGCUCGGAUGAAGUGCCCAAAUCGUUGCCAGAAGGCAGCCUGGGCACAAUUGGCAUUCUCAAUUCCCUUCUAGAUUCGGAUUUGACAAGCAUGGAUUCUCCUUCCAGUGAUUUUAUGUAUUCUAAUGUACAAACAGUCGAUCCUAGAUUGAUCAGGAGGACACCUACGGCAGAACAGAGUGCGUUUUUAAACGAUUUCAGCACAGUGUCGGAUUUGUUCUCUCGAAGCGAGCAUUCGUCAGCUGAUACUUUUCGGCCACUCGAGUCUCUCGCUAAAAAAACCAAGGACCAGUUGUUCCUAGAACAAAAAGACGGUCUGAAUUGCACGGACCUGGAAGAGUUUGGACUAAAUAGCAGUAAGCGAGCUGAUUUUGAAAUGCCUGUGCUUGAAGAAGAGCUGAUUCACCUACCACAGCAUGCGUUGAUCGACGACACAAUAAUAACACAGAUAUCUACUUCGACCCGCGAAUCGCACGUGACCAAUCGGUCUGAGAUUGAUAAUUUAAACGACGUCAAAUCCACGCUGCAAUCAUGUAUUGGUUCUCAUGAAUUCAACAACAUGCAACCGCUGGCAGAGAAUAGUUAUGACUAUUCAAAAUUGAAUCAUUUCAAAGACUUUGCGUCGUUUAAACUUAAAGACAUCAUACAGCAUUCGCCAGACUCGAUUGAUCACAGCGAAGAUUUACCCACGAGCACACUGACGGAUUUUACUCCUCCUCAUAGCGUCGAUGCUCCUCAAUCGCCAUACACUUUUGCCUCGUCAUCGCCACCUGUACAUGUUCAAACAGUUUCUUACUCUCCUACACAUUCCAUUGGCGAAUAUCGUCAUCAGAUAUCCACAAACAUGUUGAUGCCUCCUCCGAGCACGUCGCAACUAUCUUGUCAAAAUACCUUGACACCUCCUCCGACUCCGCAACAGAGUCAAAAUCCAUUGAGCGAAACUCUCGGUGAGCAGCAGUCGCAGGCAGCUUUCGCUAUCGACGGAAAUAUACGCGAGGGUGCAAUUUGUUACUUCACCGUCAAAUCACAAUUAUGUUCAGCUGCUGACGCCAGCAACGACGAUCUUCAAGAACAAAACUUAUGCAUGCAGAGUAAAAUUGCGACGCAACACGUACAGCCCAAAGUUAUGUAUGUCACUCGAUCUAAGAAAUGUGCCAAAUCGAGGACUCGAUCGACCAAAAUUGAGGAAGAUGAAACAGUCAAGCGAAAUGAAGACCAGUCUUUGCACCUGUCGCAGGUUCAAGUCGCCCUGACGAGAUUACCCGCAGAUGAAAUUAAAGGCGAAGAUAGCAGAGACCAGCGUUUACUCAAGAGUCACUUUGUUGUGAAAAAGGAGGGGGACAUUCCAUUUGGCAAACAGCUGAAAGCUCCACAAUUGCAACGUCUUGAUUUGACGAAACUGAGCAUAGCCGCUGCACAGAAGAAUAACAAAUCAGUGUUGAUAAAUUUGAACGGCAAGACAAAGCCGGCGUUGAUGUUUGAACGAAAUACCGUGCAGGGUGAGAAGUUGUUGAAAAGUAUGAACACCGACCCUGUCAGCAGUCGUCAUAUCGUGUAUAAAUUGACGCCUAACAUUACACCUGCUACCUCGAAAGAUAAGCCAUAUUCUAAGCUUCCUAAAGUUAACUUUACUGUACAAAAUCGUACCGACGAUGUUGUCGGUAAAUCGCAAUCGACGGCUGCCAGGUCUGUCAGCAGUAAUACAGGGACACAGCAAGAUCAGGUUCAGAAGAUUAUAAAACCGCGGUCUUACAUGAGACGAAGUGUUACAACUCAAGCUAGCCAGUCUGUCAAGGAGUUCAACGUCAGGAAAACUUUCACUGUUCACAACACGGAAGAACCAUCUCUGAAGAAACGCAAGAUCACUACAAAAUUGAUGCCGUCGUUAGAAAAUGAAGGCAUUAUUUAUACGGUUAAUCAGCAAAAGCCACAAGAGAAGCAUUCAAACGUUAUCAGAAGAGGUAAUUUACAAUUAUAUUUAUUUUUUUCCAGAUUAACGAUUAUGUCCGUGUCAAUUUUUCUUAGCUGUUACAUCCGUGGCACAAUAAUCAGCUUUUGUACAAAAUUUAAAACUAAAUCGCAGUUGUGUGAAUAUUUUUAUUUGCUUCGUGUAUCUGGAACCAGAAAACUUUGCUUUGAUAUCACGAAAUUGAUGUUUCCGAAAAAAAGUUGUUAAGAUAUUCAACCGACGAGUAAAAAUUCUUACAUCGGCGUCAAUGAAAACGUUUGACGAAAUUCAACAUUCAUUCGUCAAUGAAGAACUGACAUCUACAUCCAUGAAGAUAAGAUGUGCGAUCAUCAACGAAGAUAUCUUUGUGCAUAUUGCAUUAUUAUUCUGCUCUUCGUUCAUUGAGUAUUUCAUACAAACCUGCAUAAUUUUCUGCUUUACCUUACGGUAAAAAAUGAAGGCAAGCUAAUAACAAACAUUUCAUAACUUUCGAAAAAUCAUGAGCAAUUUCUUUGGUAUGUUCUUUCACUGAUAAAAUUCGGUUUAGAAUUUAGAUUCAUACACAUUUAUAGGCGAGUAAAACUACAAUUUCAAUUCAAUUGAAAAAUUUAUUUUUGAAGAUUAUAUUCGAAAUAACAAUCAUAAAUUCAUCACUUCUGGAAGAUGAAGCAUGUAAAAGAAUUCAGUCGGAGAGAUAGAACGAAGAAAAAAUUUGUCUGACGGAAUAACUGCCUGCACGAUUUACCAUGCAGCAUUAACAGCAGCCGUAAUACGAAAACACGUAAUCGAACCAGUGAAAAUACGUAAGACUUACAUGAUUAUAGUUAUAUUUUACAAUAAAUCACAACCGUCGGCUGGAAGGUAUGUAUACGUUAUAUACCCAUGUACAUAUAUUUAAAAUUGAAGAAUUUGUUAAAGAGUAUGAUAGAAAAAUCGACAUCUAUAUAUGGCGACCAUUUCCGAGAUCAGUUAUUAUUAUUAUUAUUAUUAUUAUUAUUGUUGUUGUUGUUGUGUACGGGGAUUUAUUUAUACUUGAAAUUAGUUUUUAAAUUAUUUCAUUCUCCCGACAGCAAUAACAUUAACUUUACCUUUGCUCGUUGUUUCAUUGUUUCUCCGUUUAUUGCUUUAUCUGUGAAUUGUGAGAAGGUGACGAAAGUUUUUUUAACAGUUAAUCGUUAAUCGCUAUACUCUUGCUACAUGCAUACGUGUAACACAAGUGCGUCACUCGAUUUUAAUCAUACAGCAUAUAUUCACUAAUUUACAGUGUCAUACAAAAACAUGUGAUAUAAAUUAACUACAGUAAUUUCGAUCCCUCCUUUAUUAUCAAUCAAUUGUUACAUUCUUGACGCGUAUGUAUUAUAUUUUUAUUAUUUCAUCGUUCGCCAUGCAAUUUUGGUACAAAACUAUCUAGAAAUGGUAAUUCGUUGUCGUUUGUUCGUAAAAUGUCCAAUCUAUACAAUACGUACGGUAAGAAACUAUUUCGCUUAUUUGUAAAUAUAAUAGUUGUAAAUAGAAGAAUGAACGAGACAGUGAAAACGUAACGUGUAUCUUGUGAUUUUAUUGAUGAUCUCUUACAAAACAAUUUAGACUUCAUUUGGUUUUUACAUUUUAAGUAAUAUAAAACUGAUAACUGUAUGAUACGCAUUGCAUUGAAUUUGUAUAUUGUAUAUAUACUUGUAAGUGUAUACGAGUGAGUGCAAAUAGUAAUUUUAAUUUUAUCGUCAUACCCGUAUAUUAUUAUUAUUAUUGAUAUACUGACAUGAAAUCACGGAAGAUAUUAUUACAAAGUAACUGAUGCUGCUAAAAGUCAUUCCAGAAAAUAAUAGUAACAGUAAUAUUAUUAUUAAAACUGUUAUAUUCUGUUAAAAAAUCGGUGUCAUUAGUUUAUCCGAGAAUUCAGAAUCAAUCAAAUAACACUUAGCAUAUAUUUACCUCCCCUGCAAGUUUGCCAAAAUCGAUUGAAUCUGAUAUACAACAAUUUUCUUUGAGUUUCAUUUCAUCUUCACGUAUGCGGAAGAUUUUAUUCCUGUAAAACGUAAACGUAAAUGUAACGAGGAAAAAGUCAUACUUGAAUUACCUGAGUUCAAAAGGACAUACGUAGAUUAAGUGCGUUUAAUAAUAGUAAUAAUAAUAACAAUAUUAGUAAUAAUGAUAAUUUUCUGGGCAUUUAUACCUAAUAUUAAUUGCUGUUAUGAAUUUGAUAUUUUGCCAUCGGUGUAUGUGUGUUUGUACAUUAUAGUAUAAUAUGAGGCAAAGUCCACAAUUUGAAUGAAUUGCACACGUUUUCUAAAAAAAUUCCCCAAAAAAGAAAAAAAAAAAAAUCAAAUUCAUUUAAUUUUAUAUAACAUAUAUAUUUUGUAUAUUUUUUUAAUUUUAUUUAACAUCGAUAAACUGUCAAAGAAAUUUACCAACGUCGCGUUAAACUUAUAAUUUCUAAUUAUUUUUAAUACAAUUUCAUGUUUCAAAUCGAAAUUAGCAAGCAAUAAUUUGCGACGUGUGAUGCAUCGUUUUAAGUUUUGGUUUUUUCUCAUCACUUGCGUAUUUAUUGGAUUUUAAAGAUUUUUUUUAUAGCCAAUUCCAUGAUGACAAUGAAAUUAAUUGAAGAAAUAGAACGCGUGUCCAGUCAUUGUUAACAUGACCUAGAAAUUUUUAUAUAUUAUUAUUUUGUAUCUAUAUUAUUUCCCAGUAGCAAAUUAUUAGGGAAAAAAACGAAAAAUAUGAAAAAAGAAAAAAAACCCAAGUACAAGUAAUAAGUAAUAAGGUUUAAUAUUGUAACGUACACCGCUGCAUAAAGAAAGGAAUGAUAUCGAAUAAACGUUGUACACUGUUAUAAAACUAAAACAAAAAAAAAAAUCAGAAAAUCAUACAACACUGGCGAACAGUAUGUAUUUUUUUUUUAUUUAUUUUUUUUCACAA
RNA transcript from Neodiprion virginianus, 8319 nucleotides. RefSeq lists it as uncharacterized. The record is from RefSeq and is a predicted model, not a curated record. Lineage: Eukaryota; Metazoa; Arthropoda; Insecta; Hymenoptera; Diprionidae. The transcript is spliced from 10 exons.